Molecule: ribosomal RNA, 496 nt
Filed under: uncultured bacterium
Lineage: Bacteria
Description: partial 16S ribosomal RNA
Rfam family: Bacterial small subunit ribosomal RNA
Source: RNAcentral
AUGAACGCUGGCGGCGUGCCUAAUCCAUGCCAGUCGAGCGAACAGACGAGGAGCUUGCUCCUCUGACGUUAGCGGCGGACGGGUGAGUAACACGUGGAUAACCUACCUAUAAGACUGGGAUAACUUCGGGAAACCGGAGCUAAUACCGGAUAAUAUAUUGAACCGCAUGGUUCAAUAGUGAAAGACGGUUUUGCUGUCACUUAUAGAUGGAUCCGCGCCGCAUUAGCUAGUUGGUAAGGUAACGGCUUACCAAGGCAACGAUGCGUAGCCGACCUGAGAGGGUGAUAGGCCACACUGGAACUGAGACACGGUCCAGACUCCUACGGGAGGCAGCAGUAGGGAAUCUUCCGCAAUGGGCGAAAGCCUGACGGAGCAACGCCGCGUGAGUGAUGAAGGUCUUCGGAUCGUAAAACUCUGUUAUUAGGGAAGAACAAAUGUGUAAGUAACUAUGCACGUCUUGACGGUACCUAAUCAGAAAGCCACGGCUAACUACGUG